Molecule: non-coding RNA, 4578 nt
Organism: Oryctolagus cuniculus (rabbit)
Lineage: Eukaryota; Metazoa; Chordata; Mammalia; Lagomorpha; Leporidae
Source: RefSeq, a predicted model, not a curated record
AUCUAAGGGGGUGGAGUUUUGAGUAGGAGUUCAUAUAUACUGCAAUAACCCGUUCAUUAGGGUAAGGGUGAUCAAGUUCACCGAGUUUGUUGAUUAGGAGAACUCUGUGCCUCAUGGAAAGUGCAGGGUUGGUAAUGAUCAUUGAAGUAAGAUUACAAUAGAUGAGGAAGUGAAUGAGGGAAAGGAGCAAAAAUGUGCUUAGCCACGGGCAUGGAAGAAAUGUAGCAGGUGGAUCCAGAACCCAAAUGAGUGCAUCUGUCUUGAAUGGGAGAAGCUUAUCCCAGGGAAGGCAUUAAGGGGUAAAUAUUGGGGAGGAGCUAGUUGAGAGGGUUGCUUUAGUAUUUCUAUUUCAGUAGAGUCUGAAGUCAUCUCCUCAAAGUGGAGGAGAUUUUGUUGGUAGGGGCUUUCAGGAUAGUGAAAUGGAAGGUGCCCCCAUGAAUGGGCCAGUGAAACUUUGCUGUAGAACUUGCUGAGGUUAGAAAGCAUGGCUAAGAUUGGUACCAUCUUUCAGGAUUAUUUCAAUUGCUGUAGUGCUAGAGGCAUAGGGACAGCUUAAGUACUGAAUACAGGAAACUGAGUUACAAUAUUGAUCCAUGAGAGUGUUCUGCCCAUCACGUGGGGAGCAAGAACAGAGCAGGAAGGGAAUUGUGUGGGCAGGGAAAGGAGAAGUUUAGGAGGCCUAGGGUGAAGGGGAUCAGACCAGACCAGGAGGAAAAGAAAGGCCAAGGUGCAAAUUAACUUGGUGAGCAGCUGUGGUGGGGGAGGAGGUAGGAAUGUUGGCUGUAGAAUGAUUACUAAUGGGAUUUUAGAGUUUUCAUUUUCUGAUAUGGCACAGUUCGGGGUGAUAAUGAGGUCAGGAGGGACACAGAGGGAGCAGGUGGCUAGAGUAGAAUGUAGGUCAAGGCUAUAUUAGGUAGAUUUGGUCUAUUAUCCACUCCCACCUUUAUUCAGGGGAUGUUUUGGAGAUGUGAAAAGAAUCCCCUCUUCCACACCUUCAGAAAUUGUUUAAAUAUCAGAGACACAAGGCAUGAUUUAUAUUCGGUUUGCAAAACUUCCCCGUGUAUGGAAACAGUUUUGCAAAUUAGCUGAGAAAAGUUGAAGCUUUCUUCAUCUGCCAUGAAAGAGGCUCUGCCAACACAAGAUAAUGAAAGGAUAUUAUCUUCUGAUUGCUAAUUAGCAGCUGAAAUGAAUGCGUAACCUUGAUACUGCCAAGUUCCCUCUGUUAAUAUCCGCCCUUCACGGGGGCAGAGGAAAGAGAACUGGGAUGCUUUUGCAACCUGCUGGGUCAAGUGUAGAACUCUCUUUUAGUGAAAUCUCUUCUGAUCAUAUGUUAUGCAGACUUUAAUACACUCUCUGACUACAAUGAAAUUGCUAAUAACAUACUUGGUAUUGAUUUGGUUCUAAAGCUCCAAAUAAAAAGAUGGUUAUGGUAAAAUCAAUCAUUUGGAAGUGUGGAUAGUGGAUUUUUUAAUCUAUUAUUCUGGUUAUCUUGGAUUAAUACUGGAUGUGUCAAUCAUAUUUUGACAUAUUACUAUGAUUAGUGUAGGUUUAUGUGAAAAGGACCUGAGAAACAGAGAUCCAGGAAAAUAAACAUCUUCAUAAAUAUUGAGAAUAGUACCCUCGUUUUUGAUAUCUGUUAAGAUGUGUUUAGUUAUAACUGACCUUAGAGAAUAAUGGUAAAAAAAAAAAAAACCUCAAAUGAUGCUUUCAUUGACCUCUAAUGGGUUUUAUAUCCCUAACCUUCAAAUAUUCUUUAUUGUCAGAGCUCAAAUAUUGUAUUCUGCAAUAUUAUGGAUAACCAUGACUGACAAGUCACAAAAGCAAUGUGCAUAUUCAUUAGUUCAGUCAAAAAACUGAACAAACCACUGGACAAAAGUCAACCAAAAUAGUUAAUUAGUGGACUAAAAUAGCUUAAUUUUCAGUUUACUGUUUUAGCUAUUCAGAUGUCUAGGUAUUUUACUGUUGUCUGAGUCUCAGCAUUAGUUUCUCAGGCUGACUUGUUUGUGAAAUGUGCCUUAUGAGCUCCAGCUAGUGAUUGAGAUUUUCUUCAUUUCUGUUCCCUAGUUUAUCUUGGGGGAAUGCUGCUGAUUCUUGUUCUAGGCCUCUGGGGGUGUUGGGAGGAUUCUCUGUGAAAAUACUGUGAAUUCUUCAGGCGGACACACUAGAGGCUUAGAGGUCAAAGCAUUGCUGCAUUGUUAACCUUGGAGGUGUUUAUGACGGAAAGUACGUGAAUGGGUAUCUGAGUAUCCGUAGUGGGUUGAAUGUUGGUCCUCGAAAGAUAUGCCCAGGUCCUAGACCUUGAAACUUGUGACUAUGACCUUAAUAGGAAAAAGAGUCUUUGGAGACAUAAUUUAGUACAGGAUCUUGAGAUGAGAGUAUCUGGGACUAUCCCAGUGGAUUCUAAACCCUGAAAAGUGUCCUUAAAAGAAACACAGAGGGAAAAAACAAUAAAACAAACAGAAACAACGUGAUGGCCAUGUGAAGACACAGGCAGAGAUUGGAGUGACGCAUCCACAAGCCGGGGAACUCCAAGAACCACCAGAAGCUGAAAGGCAAGAAAGCAUUCUCCCUACAGCACUCAGAAGCAGCAUGGCACUGCUGAAACUUUGAUUUUGGAUUUCUGGACUCCAGAAUAGAGAAUACCCAGUUUGUGGCAAUUGACUCUAGCAGCCCUAGAAGUACAUGAACAAGCCUAAAAGAUACCCCUCUUCUUUACUUGUCUGGGAUACUUCUCACUAAGCACAUUAUUGUAUAGUUUGUAAGUUGUUCUACUAAAAUCAUACAUUUAACCUCAUGCAGGAGUGAGAAUUUUUCUGGUUUUAGAAUGAGACAUGGUCUGUUUCUGUGCUAAGAACUGUAUAAAGAAGUUGACCAAAUAAAGCUGCCUGCCCAGAUAACUAAAAUCUUCCGAAAUCUGUUAUGUCCUCAUGCAACUGAAUAAUCCAGGAAGGCAAAGACUUACAUCUUAGUUGUCUGAGCUGCACAGACCAGAACAUGCGGGUACAGCAAUGUCAUUGUGUACCACCAGAACCCAAAGUGCUUUACUGACUGUUUAAAUGUUAUGUUUCUUUUGCCUAGGACUCAUUAAUCAAUAUGCAGAAUUCACUAAAUCUAAGAAAUUCAUUAAAUCUAAGAAAUAAUCAAUUUGUUGAAAUCAAAAUAACUUUUACAGCUUUCACUCAUUCAUUAAUUCAUCCAAUCUUGCCACAAAUCAUGAGAUACCUACACUAUACAAGUCCCUGAGAUACUUGGUGAAAACAAAAGACAAGGACCCAAAGUUCCCUUGGAACAUACAAUCUGUGAUAGUGUGUGUUUAGGAACAUAGUAGAAUUACUUAAAUACUACUUAAGUCUAAACUGAAAUGGCAUUCUACAGUUCUCACGUGACUGACAAAACCAUGGCUCUGACAACAUCAAAGUGUCUGCUACACAAAGGUAUAUGUCCCGAUACAAUCUGGAUACCAGAAAUACCUGAUGUUAUGUAAGGAAUUCAUAGAGUGGAAAUGUGGUAUGCAUAAAGCAAAUGAAUUAGCACGAUACUGAGGUGCGUGACUAUAUUCUUUAUUUUGAAGACUUGUGUACUGAUUACAUAUUUCUUCAGAUGCAUUGUUGGUAUUCUUUGAGAUGAAAAUAAAAAGCAGAAGUCCCUGGAAAUAUGGAUGAUAGGGAAAGCCACUUUUGGAGCCUAUGUUUGCUAUUCAUCAUCUGAAAAUGAGAAACCUUUCCUUACCCUUUGAAUACCCGAAGAUACCAAGGCAUCUGAUCUGUUCUCAGCUUACACCAGAGAAUUCCGUAUUACGUCACAUUGCCUCCUGGAGUUCUACAGGGAUUCCCAUUUGUCCUUUAGCAUGAUAGUCCUGAUCAUUAGACUUGCACAGCUCCACCAGUCACUCCCCUCGUCAGAUCCUGAGAUCAUCUGGAUAGCUGGAUUCUGUCCUCAACUUGUAUCUUGAAACUCUCUGCAUCAUUGAGACCAGGAGAAAGAGGAGAGUGAGGCAGCAGGAGCAAGGUUUGGAAGGCAGUGGGACAAACUCGAAGAACCAGCAUGGAGAAGCUCACCUCCACGUACUGCUCCCCACCCCGAACCCUAGCCCAUCCAAGAUAUUAAAAGGCCCAGCCUGCUGGGGUCUGGGCCCUUUGCCAUGUGUUUGGGCUAUAGGCACACUGGCAGUUGGUUGACCUCUGCGAGUUUAUUUUCUUUGAAUAAAUUCAAUCUGGCUACAAGUUCAUACCCUGUCUCCUUUCUGUUCUGUGCCCCUUUUUUCUUACGUGGAAUACUUCCCAUUUAUGCAUCCAACAGUCAAGGAAAGGCUGAACAUCUUGAAGUGCCAGGCAUUAUGCUAGGGUAAGACAGAUAAAACUAUCUCUGCUCCCAGAGGUCAGACAGAAAAAUCUGACUAGAGUAUGGGACACUGAAGACAGUGAGCAGGAAGAAUCAGAACCAGAGCAAAAGAUGGAAAUGAGCAGUGGCCUAGAUGCCUCCUCCAGCCAUACCCAAGCCGUGCUGCAGCCUGAGUGAUGGCGGACCCUUUGAAACUGCCUCAUCUUCGCCAUGUUUAUUUCUGGCCAGUAGUCAUGU